This 460-nucleotide ribosomal RNA is filed under the name uncultured bacterium. Its description in RNAcentral is "partial 16S ribosomal RNA". It matches the Rfam family "Bacterial small subunit ribosomal RNA", at positions 338 to 795 of the family's 1533-position model. The record is from RNAcentral.
GCUACGGGUGGCUGCAGUGAGGAAUAUUGGUCAAUGGGCGCGAGCCUGAACCAGCCAAGUAGCGUGAAGGAUGACUGCCCUACGGGUUGUAAACUUCUUUUAUCAAGGAAUAAAGUGAGGCACGUGUCCCUUUUUGUAUGUACUUUAUGAAUAAGGAUCGGCUAACUCCGUGCCAGCAGCCGCGGUAAUACGGAGGAUUCGAGCGUUUUCCGGAUUUAUUGGGUUUAAAGGGAGAGUAGAUGGGUUGUUAAGUCAGUUGUGAAAUUUUGCGGCUCAACCGUAAAAUUGCAAUUGAUACUGGCAGCCUUGAGUACAGUUGAGGUAGGCGGAAUUCGCGGGGUAGCGGUGAAAUGCUUAGAUAUCACGAAGAACUCAGAUUGCGAAGGCAGCUUACUAAACUGCCACUGACAUUGAUGCUCGAAAGUGUGGGUAUCAAACAGGAUUAGAUACCCGAGUAGUC